RNAcentral lists this ribosomal RNA (389 nucleotides) under Embryophyta sp. RNAcentral's name for it is "partial small subunit ribosomal RNA". It matches the Rfam family "Eukaryotic small subunit ribosomal RNA", at positions 582 to 975 of the family's 1831-position model. Lineage: Eukaryota; Viridiplantae; Streptophyta. The record is from RNAcentral.
AUUCCAGCUCCAAUAGCGUAUAUUUAAGUUGUUGCAGUUAAAAAGCUCGUAGUUGGACCUUGGGACGUCACGGUCGGUCCGCCUUCUUGGUGUGCACUGGCCCUCACGUCCCUUCUGCCGGCGGCGUGUUCCUGGCCCUAAUUGGCUGGGUCGCGGUUCCGGCGCCGUUACUUUGAAAAAAUUAGAGUGCUCAAAGCAAGCCUACGCUCUGAAUACAUUAGCAUGGAAUAACGCGAUAGGAGUCUGGUCCUGUUCCGUUGGCCUUCGGGACCGGAGUAAUGAUUAAUAGGGACUGUCGGGGGCAUUCGUAUUUCAUUGUCAGAGGUGAAAUUCUUGGAUUUAUGGAAGACGAACCACUGCGAAAGCAUUUGCCAAGGAUGUUUUCAUCG